UUUGUCGUUUUAUCGAAUCGCAUUUGAGAAACAUUUCCUGAUUUCCUUGUGCAACUUGUAUAAAUAUGGGGGAGAACCAUCCCCGAACCAUUCUCAAUCUUUACUCGACACCGAAUCGUACCGACGUCUAGUCACUACCAAACCGACACUAUGCUGAAGGUAUUGUUUCUCCUGUCCUGCCUCGUGGCUAGUGGGCUCUGCACUCAUUAUUAUGGAAAUUCCUAUGGCUAUGGCUUGGGAUCAAUGUUAGACGAUGGAUUCGGAAGUGGUCUUGGACUUCUUGGUGGUGGAUAUGGAUAUGGAAACGGAUACGGAAAUAACUAUGGUCGUGGGGGAUACGGUCUUGGAGGCUAUGGACGUGGUUACGGAAACAGGUGGAUGAGACGACGAGGCUCCGUAUUUGGUGGAUAUUAAACAAUAGAAUUUCAAGAUUCAUCAUACUCAGCAUAACUUGCCAUUUAAUUUAUUGCCAAAAAUGAUUGUUUUCAUGUAAUAAAAUGUUUUUGUUAAACGGAA
Pecten maximus is the source of this 516-nucleotide long non-coding RNA. RefSeq lists it as uncharacterized. The transcript has 4 exons. NCBI's taxonomy places the organism in Eukaryota, Metazoa, Mollusca, Bivalvia, Pectinida, Pectinidae. The record is from RefSeq and is a predicted model, not a curated record.